AUGAACGCUAGCGGCAGGCUUAACACAUGCAAGUCGAGGGGCAUCGAGAGAGUAGCAAUACUUUUGUCGGCGACCGGCGGACGGGUGCGUAACGCGUAUGCAACCUACCUUAUACAGGGGGGAUAAACCUUUUCGAAAAGGGAGACUAAUACCGCAUAACAUUACUUUGAGGCAUCUUGAGGUAAUUAAAUCUUCGGAGGUAUAAGAUGGGCAUGCGUAGCAUUAGCUAGAUGGUGCGGUAACGGCGUACCAUGGCGACGAUGCUUAGGGGUUCUGAGAGGAAGGUCCCCCACACUGGUACUGAGAUACGGACCAGACUCCUACGGGAGGCAGCAGUGAGGAAUAUUGGUCAAUGGUCGGAAGACUGAACCAGCCAUGCCGCGUGCAGGAAGAAUGUCUUAUGGAUUGUAAACUGCUUUUGUAUGGGAAUAAUAAUAGCUUUGCGAAGUUAGAUGCAUGUACCAUACGAAUAAGGAUCGGCUAACUCCGUG
RNAcentral lists this ribosomal RNA (491 nucleotides) under uncultured bacterium. RNAcentral's name for it is "bacterial SSU rRNA". It matches the Rfam family "Bacterial small subunit ribosomal RNA", at positions 29 to 507 of the family's 1533-position model. The record is from RNAcentral.